AUUGAACGCUGGCGGCAUGCUUUACACAUGCAAGUCGAACGGUAACAGGCCGCAAGGUGCUGACGAGUGGCGAACGGGUGAGUAAUGCAUCGGAACGUGCCCAGUCGUGGGGGAUAACUACUCGAAAGAGUAGCUAAUACCGAAUACGAUCUAUGGAUGAAAGCGGGGGACCGUAAGGCCUCGCGCGAUUGGAGCGGCCGAUGUCAGAUUAGGUAGUUGGUGGGGUAAAGGCUCACCAAGCCAACGAUCUGUAGCUGGUCUGAGAGGACGACCAGCCACACUGGGACUGAGACACGGCCCAGACUCCUACGGGAGGCAGCAGUGGGGAAUUUUGGACAAUGGGCGCAAGCCUGAUCCAGCAAUGCCGCGUGCAGGAAGAAGGCCUUCGGGUUGUAAACUGCUUUUGUACGGAACGAAACGGCUCUGGUUAAUACCCGGGGCUAAUGACGGUACCGUAAGAAUAAGCACCGGCUAACUACGUG
Molecule: ribosomal RNA, 482 nt
Filed under: uncultured bacterium
Lineage: Bacteria
Description: partial 16S ribosomal RNA
Rfam family: Bacterial small subunit ribosomal RNA
Source: RNAcentral